GGAAGUAAAAGUCGAACAAGGUUUCCGUAGGUGAACCUGCGGAAGGAUCAUUAUUGUAUAACCGAGGUGCGAGGGCUGUCGCUGACCCGAAAGGUCGUGCACGCCCGAGUGCCCUCACACACAUCCAUCUCACCCCUAUGUGCACCACCGCGUGGGUCCCCCUUUGGCUUGUUCGGAGGGGGGCUUACGUUUUCACACAAACUUUGUAUGCAGUGUAGAAUGUAUUUUUUGUUUUUGCGAUCACGCAAUCAAUACAACUUUCAACAACGGAUCUCUUGGCUCUC
This 284-nucleotide unclassified non-coding RNA is filed under the name plant metagenome. RNAcentral's name for it is "partial contains small subunit ribosomal RNA, internal transcribed spacer 1, and 5.8S ribosomal RNA". The stretch from base 1 to 53 matches the Rfam family "Eukaryotic small subunit ribosomal RNA", at positions 1778 to 1831 of the family's 1831-position model. The record is from RNAcentral.